RNAcentral lists this ribosomal RNA (375 nucleotides) under Staphylococcus chromogenes MU 970. RNAcentral describes it as "bacterial SSU rRNA". It matches the Rfam family "Bacterial small subunit ribosomal RNA", at positions 1 to 363 of the family's 1533-position model. Lineage: Bacteria; Bacillati; Bacillota; Bacilli; Caryophanales; Staphylococcaceae. The record is from RNAcentral.
UUUUAUGGAGAGUUUGAUCCUGGCUCAGGAUGAACGCUGGCGGCGUGCCUAAUACAUGCAAGUCGAGCGAACUGACGAGGAGCUUGCUCCUUUGACGUUAGCGGCGGACGGGUGAGUAACACGUGGGUAACCUACCUAUAAGACUGGAAUAACUCCGGGAAACCGGGGCUAAUGCCGGAUAACAUAUCGAACCGCAUGGUUCGAUAGUGAAAGACGGUCUUGCUGUCACUUAUAGAUGGACCCGCGCCGUAUUAGCUAGUUGGUGAGGUAACGGCUCACCAAGGCAACGAUACGUAGCCGACCUGAGAGGGUGAUCGGCCACACUGGAACUGAGACACGGUCCAGACUCCUACGGGAGGCAGUCAGUAGGGAAUC